AGCCUACUUCCAGCAGAUCAUGACAAGUCUGGGUCCUGUUAAUACUGGUACCAGUACUACAGCUCCUAUGAAGAGAUCAGCCGCCAUGGACAAGGACAACGAUUAUUUGCUGACUUCAAACAAACAGCAACAAGGGAUGGUCUGAAAGAAUGGAAGAAACGGACAAGAAAUGCUGUUAAUUGUUAGCCUCUUUGUUGUA
Long non-coding RNA from Mizuhopecten yessoensis (Yesso scallop), 199 nucleotides. RefSeq lists it as uncharacterized. The transcript is spliced from 3 exons. NCBI's taxonomy places the organism in Eukaryota, Metazoa, Mollusca, Bivalvia, Pectinida, Pectinidae. The record is from RefSeq and is a predicted model, not a curated record.